Molecule: ribosomal RNA, 253 nt
Filed under: uncultured bacterium
Lineage: Bacteria
Description: partial 16S ribosomal RNA
Rfam family: Bacterial small subunit ribosomal RNA
Source: RNAcentral
UACGUAGGGUGCAAGCGUUAAUCGGAAUUACUGGGCGUAAAGCGUGCGCAGGCGGUUGUGCAAGACAGAUGUGAAAUCCCCGGGCUUAACCUGGGAACUGCAUUUGUGACUGCAUGGCUAGAGUGUGUCAGAGGGGGGUAGAAUUCCACGUGUAGCAGUGAAAUGCGUAGAUAUGUGGAGGAAUACCGAUGGCGAAGGCAGCCUCCUGGGAUAACACUGACGCUCAUGCACGAAAGCGUGGGGAGCAAACAGG